RNAcentral lists this long non-coding RNA (813 nucleotides) under Gallus gallus (chicken). Lineage: Eukaryota; Metazoa; Chordata; Aves; Galliformes; Phasianidae. The record is from RNAcentral.
AGAAGAUUAAGAAAAAGUCGGGUCCAAAGCUGGGUGGAGAGAGUACAAUGAAUUUUCAUCAGAAUACUGGCAUUUAUUUGAGACUUUCAGAAUAGCCAAAAGAAAAAAAAAAAGAAGAAGUUAAACUUCCAUAUUUUUGGAACAAAGUCAACUAACUGUUCAGUACCCAUGCAGCUCUAAAGGAACUUGGUGGAUAUGGUCAGGAUCAGAAGAAUGACUCAAACAAUGACUUGCUGACAUGGUGAGCAAAGGCAAUUACUGUUCACAUGCAAACUGCCACAGCCUGAGCCCUACAUGAAGCGCUGCAGCAGCAGUGCCUUGGAGAACAAGCAGCAGACUGAUGGACAGGGGGAGCAUGGGGUCUCAGAAGAGCUUUGGAACUUAGGAGAGAUAAGUAAUGUGAUGCUGACAAGUGGCGUUUCAAGCUGUGAGUUUGGGAUGAGGAGGAGGAAAGUGAAGUAGAGUUGGAUGAGAAGGGCACUACAAGAGGAACAGCAGAGAGGAAGGCAACAGGUGAGAGAUGGUGCUUUUGUCAACUUCAGGCUCUAGUUUGCUCCAUUUCACUGCAUCUUAUCCCAGGUCUUCCUUAGUAAAGGUAAGGCAGUUUGAGGGAAGGCACGUGGGAGAAAUGUCUUGCACAAUCUGAGUCAGCAGAAAGCUUGUGAAGAAGGAUAGGUGGCUGCUUUUUAAUUCCCUGUAACAACAACACUCAGAGGUAACAGAAAUACUGAAUGUCAUACUUAAAGCACCUAUAGCUUCCUAAAAAAAUAACAGUGCUUAGCAGAUUACUGUUUCCCAAAUGAUAGAAUGUCA